RNAcentral lists this signal recognition particle RNA (308 nucleotides) under Nelumbo nucifera (sacred lotus). RNAcentral describes it as "Plant signal recognition particle RNA". It matches the Rfam family "Plant signal recognition particle RNA". The record is from Rfam by way of RNAcentral. Lineage: Eukaryota; Viridiplantae; Streptophyta; Magnoliopsida; Proteales; Nelumbonaceae.
GCCGAGCUCGGUAGUGUGAGCUUGUAACCCGAGCGGGGGCAUCAAAGUGKUCGAAUGUUGGUCUGACUUCGAUGGACAGGAUCAGGCGGAGUAAUUUGCUGGCACGCCCGUUCCAAGUAGGGAGUUGAGCCAUGGGGCUUGAGCGUAGGCUCUCGGGUCUCUGGGUUCUUAGAGCGGAGGGCACCGCGUCAGGCUGGCUUCACAGAGCAGCGACAACCUCCCGCUCCCAUCGGUGGAAGGAUAACGAGUCGGUGCUCCGAUGAUCCACUAAUGUCCUAGGGGUCAAUCCCAAUCGGACGAUCACUUUU